RNAcentral lists this ribosomal RNA (299 nucleotides) under Limosilactobacillus reuteri. RNAcentral describes it as "Lactobacillus reuteri partial 16S ribosomal RNA". It matches the Rfam family "Bacterial small subunit ribosomal RNA", at positions 1244 to 1533 of the family's 1533-position model. The record is from RNAcentral. Lineage: Bacteria; Bacillati; Bacillota; Bacilli; Lactobacillales; Lactobacillaceae.
GAGUCGCAAACUCGCGAGAGUAAGCUAAUCUCUUAAAGCCGUUCUCAGUUCGGACUGUAGGCUGCAACUCGCCUACACGAAGUCGGAAUCGCUAGUAAUCGCGGAUCAGCAUGCCGCGGUGAAUACGUUCCCGGGCCUUGUACACACCGCCCGUCACACCAUGGGAGUUUGUAACGCCCAAAGUCGGUGGCCUAACCUUUAUGGAGGGAGCCGCCUAAGGCGGGACAGAUGACUGGGGUGAAGUCGUAACAAGGUAGCCGUAGGAGAACCUGCGGCUGGAUCACCUCCUUUCUAAGGAA